UGCAGGCUGCAACUCGCCUGCAUGAAGCUGGAAUUGCUAGUAAUCGCGGAUCAGCAAGCCGCGGUGAAUACGUUCCCGGGCCUUGUACACACCGCCCGUCACACCAUGAGAGUUGGGAAUACCCGAAGCCUGUGAGCUAACUUAUAGAGGCAGCAGUCGAAGGUAGAAUCAAUGAUUGGGGUGAAGUCGUAACAAGGUAGC
This 201-nucleotide ribosomal RNA is filed under the name uncultured bacterium. RNAcentral's name for it is "partial 16S ribosomal RNA". It matches the Rfam family "Bacterial small subunit ribosomal RNA", at positions 1299 to 1500 of the family's 1533-position model. The record is from RNAcentral.